This 465-nucleotide ribosomal RNA is filed under the name uncultured beta proteobacterium. Its description in RNAcentral is "bacterial SSU rRNA". It matches the Rfam family "Bacterial small subunit ribosomal RNA", at positions 198 to 644 of the family's 1533-position model. Lineage: Bacteria; Pseudomonadati; Pseudomonadota; Betaproteobacteria. The record is from RNAcentral.
GGAGGAAAGCAGGGGAUCGCAAGACCUUGCGCUUUUGGAGCGGCCGAUGUCUGAUUAGCUAGUUGGUGGGGUAAAGGCUUACCAAGGCUUCGAUCAGUAGCUGGUCUGAGAGGACGACCAGCCACACUGGGACUGAGACACGGCCCAGACUCCUACGGGAGGCAGCAGUGGGGAAUUUUGGACAAUGGGGGAAACCCUGAUCCAGCCAUGCCGCGUGAGUGAAGAAGGCCUUCGGGUUGUAAAGCUCUUUCAGCCGGAACGAAAAGGUCACGGCUAAUACCCGUGACAAAUGACGGUACCGGAAGAAGAAGCACCGGCUAACUACGUGCCAGCAGCCGCGGUAAUACGUAGGGUGCAAGCGUUAAUCGGAAUUACUGGGCGUAAAGCGUGCGCAGGCGGUUUUGUAAGUCAGAUGUGAAAUCCCCGGGCUUAACCUGGGAACUGCGUUUGAAACUACAAAGCUAG